GCCACAGUGGCUCAGUGGUUGAGCAUCGAUCGACCUAUGAACCAGGAGAUCUGGGUUCGAUUCCCAGUCAGGGCA
RNAcentral lists this transfer RNA (75 nucleotides) under Myotis lucifugus (little brown bat). It matches the Rfam family "tRNA". Rfam says of the family: Transfer RNA (tRNA) molecules are approximately 80 nucleotides in length. Their secondary structure includes four short double-helical elements and three loops (D, anti-codon, and T loops). Further hydrogen bonds mediate the characteristic L-shaped molecular structure. tRNAs have two regions of fundamental functional importance: the anti-codon, which is responsible for specific mRNA codon recognition, and the 3' end, to which the tRNAs corresponding amino acid is attached (by aminoacyl-tRNA synthetases). tRNAs cope with the degeneracy of the genetic code in two manners: having more than one tRNA (with a specific anti-codon) for a particular amino acid; and 'wobble' base-pairing, i.e. permitting non-standard base-pairing at the 3rd anti-codon position. Lineage: Eukaryota; Metazoa; Chordata; Mammalia; Chiroptera; Vespertilionidae. The record is from Rfam by way of RNAcentral.